RNAcentral lists this ribosomal RNA (468 nucleotides) under uncultured bacterium. RNAcentral's name for it is "partial 16S ribosomal RNA". It matches the Rfam family "Bacterial small subunit ribosomal RNA", at positions 28 to 507 of the family's 1533-position model. The record is from RNAcentral.
GACGAACGCUGGCGGCGUGCUUAACACAUGCAAGUCGAACGGAAAGGCCCUGCUUUUUUGGGGUGCCCGAGUGGCGAUCGGGGGCGUAACACGUGUGCAACCUGACCUACAUUUUGGGAUAACUUCAGGAAACUGGGGCUAAUCCCGUAUCGGAGCCGCUGUACCAUGGAGGGGGUUGGAAAGUCUAGGCGGUCGGGGAUGGACUAGCGGGUGAUCAGUUUGUUGGUUGGGGAGGGGCUUGCCCAGCCUUUGACCGGUCGGUCGCCUGAGAGGGUGACCGGCCUCAUGGGGACUGAGGGACGGCCCAGACGCGUACGGGAGGCAGCAGGGGGGAAUAUUGCACAGUGGGCGGAAGCGUGAUGCAGCAACGCCGGGGGCGGAAUGACGGCCUUCGGGGUGAAAACCGCUGUCGCCUGUGACGAAGCGGUAGUGACGGUAAUGGGUGAAGAAGCACCGGCUAACUACGUG